UCCUCAGAUGGUAAUGAGGACCUAUUAGCCCCAUCUACUCUGCUCCAGACCUUUAUACGGAGACAAACCUGUGUGAGGAAGAGACUUGACCUGGCUAACAUAACGGACCAGCACUACAGUUCCAGGAAGUCAGCGGGGAAAGUACCCAGUUUCCUGAUUCUGGAGGAUGGUUGAAAACCAGGACCCCUAACCACUAGACCAUAUGGGACGGACUAGGAGGAGCAGGCAGCUCUGGGUCUGGUGGAGCUGCAGCUGGUCCAGGGGCCUGUUUCUGCCACCAUGUGGAGUCCCUGCAGCAAGGCACCUUUGAAGACACCACUGCUAUGCCAAAGGCUGGAGACCUGGUCAUCUGCCACGCCCUGCCUCUGCCCGAAGGCUUUCAGUACUCCCACUGCUGGAACUGACCCGAAGACCGAAGUUUUCGAGGCGGAAAAGACAUGAGGCGAGAGGACGUGGCACGGGAGGCUCCAGACUACAGCCAUACAGUCUCCAAGUUUUGCCAAACUUGCGAUCAUAAAG
Molecule: long non-coding RNA, 519 nt
Organism: Perca fluviatilis (European perch)
Lineage: Eukaryota; Metazoa; Chordata; Actinopteri; Perciformes; Percidae
Exons: 3
Source: RefSeq, a predicted model, not a curated record